CCACUAUGCAAAGCAGUUUCAAGUCUCCCUCCUUCUAAGUGGAUGUUUGCUUCUAAAUCCCUCUUAUAAAGACAUUCCAGCAGGCUGCUGAGGACCGCCUAAAUAAUGAGCUUCAGUGAGUUAGUUGCUUUAGUUGUCUGAGGAACAUAUUUAUUCUGUCAGAAACGUAAAAAUACUUUCAGUCAAAGCCCCGUCUUCAGGGUCCUCAAGAUAGAGAAAUUCUGCUUUGGCUUCAUACCCUUCAUCUCUAUUUUUGGAUCUCUUGAUUUGCUAGACGGUCUUUCUAUCCGCUUAAUCACUUUACUUAAAAAGGCAAGAAAAGCACAUGGAAUUUUGUCCUAGUUUUAGUGCGGUUCUGCCCUAAGACCAAGGCAAGAGUGGGGCUUUCCCCGCGCCCCUCACUUUAGAGGGACCUGUUUGGACUCCUCUGUGAGCUUCACCCUCGCAUGAGCUGCAGAGUCUACGGGUCAAGGGGACAUUCCCACCUAGGUCCACACCCCCAUGCUCCCCACUCCCUCAAUCCCUGGCUUGGACUCACACAGAUUAAAUUUGGAAACAGAAAUUCCAAGUAUGAAUAGUCCCAAGCCCACAUCCAGGGCUUUGCGCAGGUUUCUUUCCUGCAUCUGCCCUCCCAAAGGCUCACUUUGCUGCUCAGGUGCAUAGCACUGGGCCUGCAGUGUGCCUAGGGAAUGGCUCUUGGCUGGGGUGUUCGACUCGUGAACUCGGAGAGGCAGGUUGAGAAAUUCCAUCUGAAGAGUUUGGGCUUAGAGCUCCCUCGUAACUUAGAGAUGAUUUUUUAAAGGACUCAGGUGUCCAUCUUUGGUUCAGAAAAGAUGAUCUUGUACCUAAAUGUCUCCCAUGUUGCCAUUCCAGUCUCAAAUGUCAUACUGCAACAAGAAAAUAAAAUGGUCCACACAUAAAUGAAUGCUUGAUGUACAAUAAAGGUGCACUGCAGGGCAGCGGGAGAAAAAAGUCUUUCCAAUAAGUGGCACUAGGACAAUUGCGUACCAUGCUGGAAAAAGAAGAAAUUGAACUCCUAACUCACACAAAAGUCAAUUCCAGAGUUGAAUGGAACUGAUAUAAACAAUAGGCCGCCGAAUGACUAGUUGGUCAUCUGAAGGAAGAAUACCAAUAAGAAAAGGUCUUUCUUUCAUGAAACAGGUAAUGGAGAACUGAAAGCUCAUGGUGUGUUCAGAGAACAGCUAGCAGAGGAGAGGAGGAAAGAAGAGAAGGAAGGAAGAAGAUCAAGCUGAAAUGGUACUACGGGGACUCUUAAUGCUCCAUUAAGCCAAAUGGUUUGGACUUCAUCUGUAAGUAAUAGGGAGCCAAUGAAGAGUGUGGGACAGGAGAGUAAUUCAAUUCAGUAUGUAUUUUGAAUUGAUGGCUAUGAUAGUGACUAAGGAGAAUUAGAAAGUAGAGGCAGUUAGACUAGUUCGGUGGCUGUAGAAAUAGUCUAGGUGGGAGAGGAGGUCACAUUUCAAAGGACCUUGAAGAAAUGGGCACCUGUGGUGGAGAUAUUGUGUUGUCUCCCAAUGUCUGUUUGUUCCUUCUUGCUUUACUUAUAACCCCCCUCACCUUUCACUGGGUGCAUCUCCAUUCGGCAUAAAGAUUAAUCCCUGCCUCCUUGGCAGUUAGAUGGGGUCAUGUGUCUAAGGUCUGGCUAGCAGACAUAAAUGGAAGCAGUCUCUGCAACUUCUGCAGAAUGACCCUAACGGAAGGGAUUCACUUUUCUUUAUCUUUUCUCCUUUCUGAUGGUUGGAGGCUGGCCAUGGUGGCUACAACUGGAGCAGCCAUUUGGGUGGUGAGGUGAGUUCAAGAUGGAAGCCAAGCACAACCUAGAAGGACCCUGACUCCCUGACACCAUGGUUUGCCAUAUGGGACCUGGACUGAUUCCCUUUGGAACUUUAUCUGAGAGAAAUAAACUUCUGUCUUGCUUAAGCCAUUUUUAUGGUGUCUUUCUGUCAUUUGUAGCUAAUCCUAAUCCUAAUUUUUACAUUAUCCUUCCAUAAGCUGUGAAGAGCCACAAAAAGUUUUAU
This 2036-nucleotide long non-coding RNA is filed under the name Homo sapiens (human). RNAcentral describes it as "HSALNT0114630". The record is from RNAcentral. Lineage: Eukaryota; Metazoa; Chordata; Mammalia; Primates; Hominidae.